CAUUGCGACCAUACCACGUUGAAAGCACCGGUUCUCGUUCGAUCACCGCAGUUAAGCAACGUUGGGCCCGGUCAGAACUUGCAUAUU
Molecule: ribosomal RNA, 87 nt
Filed under: Schistosoma mattheei
Lineage: Eukaryota; Metazoa; Platyhelminthes; Trematoda; Strigeidida; Schistosomatidae
Source: RNAcentral